RNAcentral lists this ribosomal RNA (253 nucleotides) under uncultured bacterium. RNAcentral describes it as "partial 16S ribosomal RNA". It matches the Rfam family "Bacterial small subunit ribosomal RNA", at positions 524 to 776 of the family's 1533-position model. The record is from RNAcentral.
UACAGAGGUCUCAAGCGUUGUUCGGAUUCAUUGGGCGUAAAGGGUGCGUAGGCGGCGUCGUAAGUCGGGUGUGAAAUCUCGGGGCUUAACUCCGAAACUGCAUUCGAUACUGCGGUGCUUGAGGACUGGAGAGGAGACUGGAAUUCAUGGUGUAGCAGUGAAAUGCGUAGAGAUCAUGAGGAAGACCAGUGGCGAAGGCGGGUCUCUGGACAGUUCCUGACACUGAGGCACGAAGGUCAGGGGAGCAAACGGG